This 465-nucleotide ribosomal RNA is filed under the name uncultured bacterium. RNAcentral's name for it is "partial 16S ribosomal RNA". It matches the Rfam family "Bacterial small subunit ribosomal RNA", at positions 36 to 507 of the family's 1533-position model. The record is from RNAcentral.
UCCUCCCUCUUUCUUCGUGCUUAACACAUGCAAGUCGAACGGAAAGGCCCUUUCGGGGGUGCUUGAGUGGCGGACAGGCGGGUAACUAGUACGUAACUUACCUUCGCUUUCGGGUUAGAUUACGUCAACUGGGGCUAAUACCGACUAGGAAUCCUUGCUGCAUGGUGGGGGUUGGAAAGAUUCGGUGGGUUUGGAUGGAUUCGCGGCUUGUUUGUUUGUUUGUGGGGUGGUGGCUUACCAAGGCUUUCACGGGUAGCCGGCCUGCGGGGGAGACCGGCCAAAUUGGGACUGGGAUACGGCCCAGACUCCCUCGGGAGGCAGGAAUUGGGAAUAUUUCACAAUGGGCGGAAGCCCUAUUCAGCAACGCCGGGGGCGGGAUGGCGGCCUUUGGGUUGUAAACCGCGUUCAGCAGGUGAGAAGGUGUGAGUGACGGUACCUGGAGAAGAAGCACCGGCUAACUACGUG